Molecule: long non-coding RNA, 568 nt
Filed under: Bos taurus (domestic cattle)
Lineage: Eukaryota; Metazoa; Chordata; Mammalia; Artiodactyla; Bovidae
Description: long non-coding RNA NONBTAT015081
Source: RNAcentral
GAGUUCACAUUUGUUUAUUGUUGUAACAUUUUGUUUUGAACAUCAAACACUGCACCAAAAUAUGAGCCAUUUAUCUUCAGUUAUCUUUGCCGUAAAGUAAGUACUGAUGUUGACAGUUUCUGACAACUCAAGAAACGUAUUAGUGGCACUGCUGUGUCUAAUAAUCAAAUGUUGUCAUAGACCAAACGUAAUGAUUAAAUUAAAAGAGCAACAUUUCCCCUCCCUCUUCCUUUUCCUACCUUUAAAACAAACCCAAAAAAGUAGUUUUCACCUGGAAAGAGCACUUACUUUAAACCAAAACUCAACUUGUCACUGGUUUCAUUAAACCCAGCAUUUCUCUAGGCUCAAGAGUUAACUCAAGGCUUCCCAGAGUUAACUAAGAUGAUACUAGAAAAGAUGACAAAAUCCCCUGGGAGAGUCUGUUUUCACCGACCUGCAGACAGCACAAAUCCGUCCUUGGCCUGUUCCUUUGGGUCUGGCCAGUACCCUUUAGGACGCACUCCGUCUGCAGGGCCACGUGCGGUCAGGGGCACGAACACUUCUGGCUCCGGUGGGUGGCUAUCACUCC